GAUGAGGUUUCUUUUGAGGUUCCCUCUAGACUAGGGGGUUGAUAGGCCAGAUCUGGAAGCGUAGUAAUGCGUUAAGGUGACUGGUACUAAUUUUACCGAGUAAUAACAGUGU
This 112-nucleotide ribosomal RNA is filed under the name Corynebacterium diphtheriae bv. mitis. RNAcentral's name for it is "partial 23S ribosomal RNA". It matches the Rfam family "Bacterial large subunit ribosomal RNA", at positions 2803 to 2925 of the family's 2925-position model. The record is from RNAcentral. Lineage: Bacteria; Bacillati; Actinomycetota; Actinomycetes; Mycobacteriales; Corynebacteriaceae.